GAAAAGUGCGUUUUCUUUCCCAGCAGCUUCCGCCGGCGCAGGUUCAGCGCGGCGGGCUGGCAGAGGAUGGUUGGUUUCACCCUGCAGGCAGCCCACACUUGGACGACCACAUUUGGUGGCCUGUAUGGGGAACUUCUCCCAGGGGAAGAUCUCUUCCCCCACUUCCUCUCCGCACUCCUUGGGACCUGUGAACAGGCAGGUGGCUGUGGAAGCAACAGAGAAACUGCGGCUGGGGCCAUAUCCAGCCUGGACUGACUCCAAAGAAUCUCGCCACCUCUAGAUCAUCCUGAAAACUUCUUCCUGUCCCUGAGGAUCUUCUAACAUUUUUCUCUUCUAGGAUACAACCAAUAAGCCUCCAAAUGGUAAUGCAACAAGAAUAUCGGCCAGCCAACACCCGGACAACACUUGAAAAAGUUGCCAUCAGGUUCCAUGGAGCCCCCACCCCUCCCUAGGUGUACCCUACAGAGAGCAGAUCCAGGUUUGACCCCCAGCUGGGGCCCCAAGACUCUGGAAGCUGCACAGCAUGGAGAAAAAGGAGGUAGAAAGAGAGCAGAGGAAAAAAAAAGGAAGAAAAAAGGGAAGAAGGGGAAAGGACAUUCAGAUUCCCAAGACUGGUGGUGAAAGCAACUCUGAUCAGCCAAAAUCACACAAGAAGAUGUGCACACUUGCACUUGCAAAGAGAGAGGAAAAGAAACCAAAGAGAAGAAAGAAAGAGAGAGCAAAGAAAAGAAAGAAGGGAGUAUUCAUACCAAUUACAAACAAAUCCACAUACAAAUAUAUACAAUAAAGAUUAAACUAACAAAUACCUAAGACCAGAAACAAGACAAACAUACCAAGAAGUCCUCCAAUACUUUUAGAUAGGGCUCUGCACCUGCUGUGGAGAGGACUGUGGAGAACUCAGAUUGUGAUAUGGUAUUAGUCCUGUGUGUAAUUGUCCCCACAGCCCCCAGUUGUCCCCUAUGUCUACAGUCUCUAUUGUAGAAACACUUGUCUAUUCAGGUGAUCCAUAUAUGCAGGGUCUAUCAAGCCUAUUGUGGGUAUUAAAUCUGCUCCUCCUGCAGCUGUUUCUCUUUCUCUUCUUUGGUCCUGCAGUCCUCAGGGAUCAGUUUUGGUUUUGGUCCCUUCUGUGUAUGUGGCUUGCUCUCAGGAGUCAGUUCCCUGCCCAGGCAAGAGGGGGUGAAAGAGGGUGAUUGGGGCUCACUUGCAACUUCAGGUCGGGGGGAGGGAGGGAUAUGGCAUUCUAAUUGAAAUCUGUGGGAGUACUUGUAGCAGCAGAGGUCAGUGUUAGCCUGAGGUGUGCUGUGCAUUCUCCCAGGGAAGUUGGUCCUGAACAUGGGACUCUGUGUUGGUGGACUUCACCUGCUGCUGGGAGGGUGUGGCCAAUGACUUGCCUUACACACAGGACCCUUGGUGGCAGCAGGUGGGCAGGCAGUGGGGCUCAGUGGCAGGUAGGGCAGGCUGUUGUUGGGCUUAGUGGUGUGUGGCAGGGUGGGGGUGCAGGGCCUGGCAGGUGGGCUUUUCGAUCUAGCAGCUGCGGGUCAUGCAGCUUUGCAGCUUAUGAGUUCGCGGAGAGGGAAUUUCCUCCCGAGCACUCUGAAACAAAAGUUCCCUGCCUCUGCAUCUGGCCCAGGAAUUUCCCCAAACUCCUUUCUAGCUUGCUGGUGCAGCUGCCCCCAGGCUGUUCUCAUGCAGCCAGCCCCAGAUCUCUCCCUGGUGUCUGUUCUCGGAAGCCCAAGCCUCUGCACCUGGUCCCAACCACUGUCUCAGGAGAGUAGCUUAGCUUCUCUGGCUGGGGAGUGCUGCCUGAAUCCUCCUUGAGGGUAUCUCUCUGUUCUUCCCUCCACACACCUGCCAUUGCUCUCUCUUCUUGGGGCUCCGAGGCUCCUCCCUCCCCCAUCCUUCCCCACCAGUGAGGGGGCUCCCCAGUGUGUGGUAGCCUUCCCCCCCUUCACAGCUCCCUCCCAGAGGAGCCGGUCUCCUCAGGAUUCUUUGUCUCUCUUUUUCCCUUCUUUCCUUUGUGCUACCCAAUUACAUGGAAAUUCUCUUUCUUGCCUUUUUGGCAGUCUGAGGUCUCCUGCUGGCAUUCAGAAAGUGUUCUGCAGGAGCCACUCCACAAGUAGAUGUAUUUUUGAUAUAUUUGUGGGGAGGAAGGUGAUCUCCACAUCCUACUCCUCUGCCGUCUUUUUCAAGGUCCUCCAAGAAUAUAUACUCUUAAAAAUUGAGGUAGAAUUCAAAUAUCAUAAAAUCUACAAUUUAAAAAUGUACAAUUCAGUGAUUUUUAGUGUCUUCACAAGGUUAUGUAACCAUCACAGUUAUCUAAUUCCAGAACGUUUUCAUCACUCCAAAACAAAACCCUAUACCCAUUAGCAUUUAUUCCCCAUCCUUCCCCACCCAGUUCCUAGCAACACUAUCUACUUAGAAAGUAGAUUCUUGUGCAUUUGCCUAUUCUGGACAUCCAUAUAUAAAUGUAUGGAAUCAUAAAAUAUGUUGCCUUUUGUGUCUGGAUUUUUUUUAAUAAAUAAAUUUAUUUAUUUAUUGUCUGCAUUGGGUCUUCAUUGCUGUGUGUGGGCUUUCUCUAGUUGUAGCAAGUGGGGGCGAUUCUUUGUUGUGGUGCACAGACUUCUGAGUGUAUUGGCUUCUCUUGUGAAGCACA
Long non-coding RNA from Hippopotamus amphibius kiboko, 2653 nucleotides. RefSeq lists it as uncharacterized. Lineage: Eukaryota; Metazoa; Chordata; Mammalia; Artiodactyla; Hippopotamidae. The transcript is spliced from 5 exons. The record is from RefSeq and is a predicted model, not a curated record.